UAAGGAAUAUUGGUCAAUGGACGCAAGUCUGAACCAGCCAUGCCGCGUGAAGGAUUAAGGCCCUCAGGGUUGUAAACUUCUUUUAUUUGGGAAGAAACCCACGGUUUCUACUGUGGUUGACGGUACCAGAUGAAUAAGCACCGGCUAACUCCGUGCCAGCAGCCGCGGUAAUACGGAGGGUGCAAGCGUUAUCCGGAUUUACUGGGUUUAAAGGGUGCGUAGGCGGGCAGGUAAGUCUGUGGUGAAAUCCCCGAGCUUAACUCGGGAACUGCCAUGGAUACUAUUUGUCUUGAAUACCGUGGAGGUGAGCGGAAUAUGGCAUGUAGCGGUGAAAUGCUUAGAUAUGCCAUGGAACACCGAUUGCGAAGGCAGCUCACUACACGGUGAUUGACGCUGAUGCACGAAAGCGUGGGUAGCGAAC
This 421-nucleotide ribosomal RNA is filed under the name uncultured bacterium. RNAcentral describes it as "bacterial SSU rRNA". It matches the Rfam family "Bacterial small subunit ribosomal RNA", at positions 355 to 773 of the family's 1533-position model. The record is from RNAcentral.